CCUACGGGGGGCAGCAGUGGGGAAUAUUGGACAAUGGGGGGAACCCUGAUCCCGCGACGCCGCGUGAGUGAAGAAGUAUUUCGGUAUGUAAAGCUCUAUCAGCAGGGAAGAAAGAAAUGACGGUACCUGACUAAGAAGCCCCGGCUAACUACGUGCCAGCAGCCGCGGUAAUACGUAGGGGGCAAGCGUUAUCCGGAUUUACUGGGUGGAAAGGGAGCGUAGACGGCGAUGCAAGUCUGAAGUGAAAGGCGGGGGCGCAACCUCCGGACUGCUUUGGAAACUGUAUGGCUGGAGUGCAGGAGAGGUAAGUGGAAUUCCUAGUGUAGCGGUGAAAUGCGUAGAUAUUAGGAGGAACACCAGUGGCGAAGGCGGCUUACUGGACUGUAACUGACGUUGAGGCUCGAAAGCGUGGGGAGCAAACAGGAUUAGAUACCUUUGUAGUC
Molecule: ribosomal RNA, 443 nt
Filed under: uncultured bacterium
Lineage: Bacteria
Description: partial 16S ribosomal RNA
Rfam family: Bacterial small subunit ribosomal RNA
Source: RNAcentral